AGAGUUUGAUCCUGGCUCAGAACGAACGCUGGCGGCGUGCUUAACACAUGCAAGUCGAACGAGAAUCGGAGCUUGCUCCGAGGAUAGUGGCGCACGGGUGAGUAACGCGUGGAUAACCUGCCCUGGUAUCUGGGAUAACAUCUCGAAAGGGGUGGCUAAUACCGGAUAAGCCCACCGGGAACGUUUGGUUUCUUGCGGGAAAAGGGUAGGCCUCUGAAUAUGCUACUGUAUCAGGAUGGGUCCGGCGUACCACUUAGCUAGUUGGUGGUGGUAAUGGACCACCAAGGCGACGAUGGUUAGCUGGUCUGAGAGGGAUGAUCAGCCACACUGGAACUGAGACACGGUCCAGACUCCUACGGGAGGCAGCAGUGGGGAAGUUUUGUCGCAAUGGGGGGAAACCCG
Molecule: ribosomal RNA, 402 nt
Filed under: uncultured bacterium
Lineage: Bacteria
Description: bacterial SSU rRNA
Rfam family: Bacterial small subunit ribosomal RNA
Source: RNAcentral